RNAcentral lists this ribosomal RNA (2609 nucleotides) under Escherichia coli. Its description in RNAcentral is "partial 23S ribosomal RNA". It matches the Rfam family "Bacterial large subunit ribosomal RNA". The record is from RNAcentral. Lineage: Bacteria; Pseudomonadati; Pseudomonadota; Gammaproteobacteria; Enterobacterales; Enterobacteriaceae.
CAUAGGUUAAUGAGGCGAACCGGGGGAACUGAAACAUCUAAGUACCCCGAGGAAAAGAAAUCAACCGAGAUUCCCCCAGUAGCGGCGAGCGAACGGGGAGGAGCCCAGAGCCUGAAUCAGUGUGUGUGUUAGUGGAAGCGUCUGGAAAGGCGCGCGAUACAGGGUGACAGCCCCGUACACAAAAAUGCACAUGCUGUGAGCUCGAUGAGUAGGGCGGGACACGUGGUAUCCUGUCUGAAUAUGGGGGGACCAUCCUCCAAGGCUAAAUACUCCUGACUGACCGAUAGUGAACCAGUACCGUGAGGGAAAGGCGAAAAGAACCCCGGCGAGGGGAGUGAAAAAGAACCUGAAACCGUGUACGUACAAGCAGUGGGAGCACGCUUAGGCGUGUGACUGCGUACCUUUUGUAUAAUGGGUCAGCGACUUAUAUUCUGUAGCAAGGUUAACCGAAUAGGGGAGCCGAAGGGAAACCGAGUCUUAACUGGGCGUUAAGUUGCAGGGUAUAGACCCGAAACCCGGUGAUCUAGCCAUGGGCAGGUUGAAGGUUGGGUAACACUAACUGGAGGACCGAACCGACUAAUGUUGAAAAAUUAGCGGAUGACUUGUGGCUGGGGGUGAAAGGCCAAUCAAACCGGGAGAUAGCUGGUUCUCCCCGAAAGCUAUUUAGGUAGCGCCUCGUGAAUUCAUCUCCGGGGGUAGAGCACUGUUUCGGCAAGGGGGUCAUCCCGACUUACCAACCCGAUGCAAACUGCGAAUACCGGAGAAUGUUAUCACGGGAGACACACGGCGGGUGCUAACGUCCGUCGUGAAGAGGGAAACAACCCAGACCGCCAGCUAAGGUCCCAAAGUCAUGGUUAAGUGGGAAACGAUGUGGGAAGGCCCAGACAGCCAGGAUGUUGGCUUAGAAGCAGCCAUCAUUUAAAGAAAGCGUAAUAGCUCACUGGUCGAGUCGGCCUGCGCGGAAGAUGUAACGGGGCUAAACCAUGCACCGAAGCUGCGGCAGCGACGCUUAUGCGUUGUUGGGUAGGGGAGCGUUCUGUAAGCCUGUGAAGGUGUGCUGUGAGGCAUGCUGGAGGUAUCAGAAGUGCGAAUGCUGACAUAAGUAACGAUAAAGCGGGUGAAAAGCCCGCUCGCCGGAAGACCAAGGGUUCCUGUCCAACGUUAAUCGGGGCAGGGUGAGUCGACCCCUAAGGCGAGGCCGAAAGGCGUAGUCGAUGGGAAACAGGUUAAUAUUCCUGUACUUGGUGUUACUGCGAAGGGGGGACGGAGAAGGCUAUGUUGGCCGGGCGACGGUUGUCCCGGUUUAAGCGUGUAGGCUGGUUUUCCAGGCAAAUCCGGAAAAUCAAGGCUGAGGCGUGAUGACGAGGCACUACGGUGCUGAAGCAACAAAUGCCCUGCUUCCAGGAAAAGCCUCUAAGCAUCAGGUAACAUCAAAUCGUACCCCAAACCGACACAGGUGGUCAGGUAGAGAAUACCAAGGCGCUUGAGAGAACUCGGGUGAAGGAACUAGGCAAAAUGGUGCCGUAACUUCGGGAGAAGGCACGCUGAUAUGUAGGUGAAGUCCCUCGCGGAUGGAGCUGAAAUCAGUCGAAGAUACCAGCUGGCUGCAACUGUUUAUUAAAAACACAGCACUGUGCAAACACGAAAGUGGACGUAUACGGUGUGACGCCUGCCCGGUGCCGGAAGGUUAAUUGAUGGGGUCAGCGCAAGCGAAGCUCUUGAUCGAAGCCCCGGUAAACGGCGGCCGUAACUAUAACGGUCCUAAGGUAGCGAAAUUCCUUGUCGGGUAAGUUCCGACCUGCACGAAUGGCGUAAUGAUGGCCAGGCUGUCUCCACCCGAGACUCAGUGAAAUUGAACUCGCUGUGAAGAUGCAGUGUACCCGCGGCAAGACGGAAAGACCCCGUGAACCUUUACUAUAGCUUGACACUGAACAUUGAGCCUUGAUGUGUAGGAUAGGUGGGAGGCUUAGAAGUGUGGACGCCAGUCUGCAUGGAGCCGACCUUGAAAUACCACCCUUUAAUGUUUGAUGUUCUAACGUUGACCCGUAAUCCGGGUUGCGGACAGUGUCUGGUGGGUAGUUUGACUGGGGCGGUCUCCUCCUAAAGAGUAACGGAGGAGCACGAAGGUUGGCUAAUCCUGGUCGGACAUCAGGAGGUUAGUGCAAUGGCAUAAGCCAGCUUGACUGCGAGCGUGACGGCGCGAGCAGGUGCGAAAGCAGGUCAUAGUGAUCCGGUGGUUCUGAAUGGAAGGGCCAUCGCUCAACGGAUAAAAGGUACUCCGGGGAUAACAGGCUGAUACCGCCCAAGAGUUCAUAUCGACGGCGGUGUUUGGCACCUCGAUGUCGGCUCAUCACAUCCUGGGGCUGAAGUAGGUCCCAAGGGUAUGGCUGUUCGCCAUUUAAAGUGGUACGCGAGCUGGGUUUAGAACGUCGUGAGACAGUUCGGUCCCUAUCUGCCGUGGGCGCUGGAGAACUGAGGGGGGCUGCUCCUAGUACGAGAGGACCGGAGUGGACGCAUCACUGGUGUUCGGGUUGUCAUGCCAAUGGCACUGCCCGGUAGCUAAAUGCGGAAGAGAUAAGUGCUGAAAGCAUCUAAGCACGAAACUUGCC